Molecule: ribosomal RNA, 583 nt
Filed under: Trichoderma harzianum
Lineage: Eukaryota; Fungi; Ascomycota; Sordariomycetes; Hypocreales; Hypocreaceae
Description: eukaryotic LSU rRNA
Rfam family: 5.8S ribosomal RNA (bases 202-355)
Source: RNAcentral
CGAGUUUACAACUCCCAAACCCAAUGUGAACGUUACCAAACUGUUGCCUCGGCGGGAUCUCUGCCCCGGGUGCGUCGCAGCCCCGGACCAAGGCGCCCGCCGGAGGACCAACCAAAACUCUUAUUGUAUACCCCCUCGCGGGUUUUUUUUAUAAUCUGAGCCUUCUCGGCGCCUCUCGUAGGCGUUUCGAAAAUGAAUCAAAACUUUCAACAACGGAUCUCUUGGUUCUGGCAUCGAUGAAGAACGCAGCGAAAUGCGAUAAGUAAUGUGAAUUGCAGAAUUCAGUGAAUCAUCGAAUCUUUGAACGCACAUUGCGCCCGCCAGUAUUCUGGCGGGCAUGCCUGUCCGAGCGUCAUUUCAACCCUCGAACCCCUCCGGGGGGUCGGCGUUGGGGAUCGGCCCUGCCUUGGCGGUGGCCGUCUCCGAAAUACAGUGGCGGUCUCGCCGCAGCCUCUCCUGCGCAGUAGUUUGCACACUCGCAUCGGGAGCGCGGCGCGUCCACAGCCGUUAAACACCCAACUUCUGAAAUGUUGACCUCGGAUCAGGUAGGAAUACCCGCUGAACUUAAGCAUAUCAAUACGCC